RNAcentral lists this ribosomal RNA (486 nucleotides) under uncultured bacterium. RNAcentral's name for it is "partial 16S ribosomal RNA". It matches the Rfam family "Bacterial small subunit ribosomal RNA", at positions 355 to 834 of the family's 1533-position model. The record is from RNAcentral.
UAGGGAAUCUUCCACAAUGGACGCAAGUCUGAUGGAGCAACGCCGCGUGAGUGAAGAAGGUUUUCGGAUCGUAAAGCUCUGUUGUUGGUGAAGAGGGAUAGAGGCAGUAACCGGUCUUUAUUUGACGGUAAUCAACCAGAAAGUCACGGCUAACUACGUGCCAGCAGCCGCGGUAAUACGUAGGUGGCAAGCGUUGUCCGGAUUUAUUGGGCGUAAAGCGAGCGCAGGCGGAAUGAUAAGUCUGAUGUGAAAGCCCACGGCUCAACCGUGGAACUGCAUCGGAAACUGUCAUUCUUGAGUGCAGAAGAGGAGAGUGGAACUCCAUGUGUAGCGGUGGAAUGCGUAGAUAUAUGGAAGAACACCAGUGGCGAAGGCGGCUCUCUGGUCUGCANUGACGCUGAGGCUCGAAAGCAUGGGUAGCGAACAGGAUUAGAUACCCUGGUAGUCCAUGCCGUAAACGAUGAGCGCUAGGUGUUGGGGACUUUC